RNAcentral lists this ribosomal RNA (253 nucleotides) under uncultured bacterium. RNAcentral describes it as "partial 16S ribosomal RNA". It matches the Rfam family "Bacterial small subunit ribosomal RNA", at positions 524 to 776 of the family's 1533-position model. The record is from RNAcentral.
UACGUAGGGGGCAAGCGUUGUCCGGAUUUAUUGGGCGUAAAGAGCGUGUAGGCGGUUUGGUAGGUCCGCUGUGAAAACUCGAGGCUCAACCUCGAGACGCCGGUGGAAACCAUCAGGCUAGAGUCCGGAAGAGGAGAGUGGAAUUCCUGGUGUAGCGGUGAAAUGCGCAGAUAUCAGGAAGAACACCAAUGGCGAAAGCAGCUCUCUGGGACGGUACUGACGCUGAGACGCGAAAGCGUGGGGAGCGAACAGG